AAUUAACAUGUAAAUUACAUAAAACCGGUAAGACGGAAUAAAUUCUAUGAGAUAAAAUUAUCUCGCAUUGGCAAGCAUUGGUGAUGUGAUGCAUAGUAAAAAUGACCGCCAAAAAUUAGGUACUGCCAUGCGCUAAAUUCAGAGAGCUGUAUUUUUUUUUUUUUUAAUACAAACUAAAAAAAAUUCGAACAUUACCACAAAUUUUAACAAUUCAUUAGAAACAAAAAAUUAACUAUUAUCUUCUUUGAUAUUUUUCGUCCAAUGAUAUAACGAGGAAAACUGAUUUUUUUUUUAAUUCAAGCUGUGCUUCUCGCAAAAAGGAAGCAUUUUCGAAAAAGUUAUGUUCCUGUACAUCCUGUUCCUGUGUCCGUUAGCCGUUAGGGAAUCGCAAAUAAGGAAUCCCCGAAUACUGUACUGCGCAGAGUGUAUUUGGGCGUAUUUCCGUUGCCUCUAUUCACAAGCUUUUGUUAUUUUCUGACGCUGCUUUGCUCGAACGACUCGAACCAAGAGACUCUGUAGAGUUUGUUACAUAGCGUUACAUAGUAUUUCCUCAAAAUUCGUUCGACUUUCGAUAAAAAAGCACGGGCAACAACGCAAACGAUACCAAGUAAAAAUAAUUGUGCAUCAAAAAUUAUAAUUGUUCAGUGAAUGUAUUCGUUUCCAAAUCGAUUAAAAGUGUUGUAUUAAAAGCGGUGAAACAAAGACAAGCUUUAUUUCACACAAUAAAAACGAAACAACGGAACAUUAGCAUUUUCACAGUGCGACUACAAAUUGAAAGUACAAUAUGUCUUGCCGGGAAAUGGAAAAAUUUUCAAUCGCAGAAAAUCCAGAAACUGCUUUAGACCGAUGGAGAACAUGGAUGAGAUCAUUCAACUUUUUGAUGGAAACUAAAAACUUAUCCAUACAAACUCGCGAUGCAUUCCCGUGGUUGUUUCAUUUAGCAGGAGAAGAGAUUCAAAACCUUGCUGAGAAAAAUGGUUUUUUUGAUGACCGACUUCGCUUUUUCAACUAUGCAGAGACAAUACGUACUAUGAUAGAGCUGGAGGCAAAAAGGCUAGUAAAAUUAAAGUCUCGAAUCUGGUAGGCACCAUCUUUGUUAACGAAAAUGCAGUUUCGACGAGUAUUUCACUGCAUUGAGGAAAGCAAAGAGUUCAGCGAUAUCUACAAAAGAAAAAGACUACAAAAGCAGAGAGAAACAACAUCUAACACUUUUUUAAAGAUUUUUAUAACAUCUGAUGCUGGGAAACCUUAUUAUUGCAGAACUGUCCGUCAAAUCCAUAUUUGUCUUUAACAGUAAUGUCUCAUACUGCUAAGAAACUGAUUGAUGUUUGAGAGUUUAAAAACUACUGUAACCCACUAAAUUGAUACUCUGAAUUAAAAAAUAAUGUUGAAUGUAA
This is a long non-coding RNA of Venturia canescens, 1397 nucleotides long. RefSeq lists it as uncharacterized. The transcript is spliced from 2 exons. NCBI's taxonomy places the organism in Eukaryota, Metazoa, Arthropoda, Insecta, Hymenoptera, Ichneumonidae. The record is from RefSeq and is a predicted model, not a curated record.